UUGCCUUUCGCGCCACAGAAAACGCUCAUGAAGAGAGCCACAACGCACACCGCAUACUGAUAAGAAUCCAGAAGUAGCAGAGUCCAGUGUAGCUCCUCGCAGAACCCUUCCCUCCCUUCCCAUCCGCCCAAAGCCCCCGUUGUUGUUUUGUUUUUGUGCUUUCCACGUUUCCUCCCUUCCCUGUAAUCCACUAAGAACGCUUCGCGUUGUUUGUUUGCUUGUCUUUCUCGCCCUCGCUUAUUCGCUUGCUGCUCGCUGUCAGCGGCGCACGCACCUGCCCACGCAUUCGUAGUCACAGGCGCGUACAUCUGCCACGUCACCAGCAUGUCCAAGAUCGCCCCGCAAACCCUGGUGGAGGCCAUCCAGGCCGUCCUGAAGGUGGACAAGGAGCGCAAGUUCAAGGAGAGCGUCGAUCUGCAGGUCAACCUGAAGAACUACGACCCCCAGAAAGACAAGCGUUUCUCUGGUUCCCUGAAGCUGCCGAAUGUGUGCCGCCCGCGCAUGACGGUGUGCCUGCUGUGCGACCUCGUGCACGAGGACAUCGCCAAGAAGGAAGGUGUGCCGACCAUGAACCAGGAGGAUCUGAAGAAGCUCAACAAGAACAAGAAGCUGGUGAAGAAGAUGUGCAACCAGUACGACGCCUUCCUGUGCUCUGAGUCGAUCAUCAAGACUGUGCCGCGUCUGGUGGGCCCGCACAUGCACCGUAUGGGCAAGUUCCCUACGGUGUGCUCGCCCAGCGAGUCGCUCACAGACAAGAUCGUGGAGCUACGCUCGACCGUGAAGUUCCAGCUAAAGAAGGUGCUGUGCCUCGGCACCUGCGUCGGCCACAUGGAGAUGAGCGAGGAGCAGCUCCGCCAGAACGUCACGAUGGCGAUCAACUUCCUCGUGUCGCUGCUGAAGAAGAACUGGCAGAACCUGAAGUCGGCGUACAUCAAGUCGACGAUGGGCAAGCCGCAGCGCAUCUAUUAGGCAGGCCAGAGUCUGGGCGAGUCGCAGAUGCUUCUCUUGUUGUUGAGGGUUUUCGGCGUCUUUGGCUUGUCCAGCACCCCCUUCGCAUCAGCGCAUGGCGCGGCGCGCGAACCGGAUGUGAGCGAGCGUGUGCACAUCUGUACGCUUUUUUCUUGUCGGUGACGUCCCGUCUGUUUCUUUGUUGUUUUGUUUUUAUUGUUGCGGCGGUGCCGGUGCGCCGAGACGGGGAUGCGCGUGCCUCUCUGGCGCCACGCAACGAGGGCGAAAAAGGUUUCCUUCGUUUAAAACCGAAUUUACUCUCUAAUAGGGCUCAAGGGAAGCGGAUGCUUGUCUGUCUGUCUCUCUCCGCUGUCAUCAUCAGGGAGAGUUCGUCGAGGAUGUCGCGGUCGUUGCUUCAGCCUUUCGUUUUCGCUUUUCGCUCGGCGUUGCUUGUUCGCCAUGGUCCACAGUAUUUGCCUUGCCGGCGCGCGUGGGUGUGUAGGCGCAUGUGUGCGUGCUGUGUCGGCUGCGACGGCGCAGCCGCAUCGGCGGAGGCGGCAAUAACAACCAGCAUUGGGGAGCGAAGCGAAACAACCGAAAGACGAGCAUCACCGUCUCUAUACUAGGAGAGUGCCUUAGAUGGACCGAAACCCAAGAAGAAUGAACGCACACCAGCGCAGGAGAGAGCGAGCGAGCGAGCGAAGGCCGGGUGGGGCGGCGGCGGCGAGACGGUCACAUCGAUUGCAUCCUCCCCUCCUCACCGCCUCGUCUUGCGUUUCUCUCUUUCCUUCUUUUUGUUUUCGGCCCUUCUCUGCCACCUCCGUCCAACUCGUAACGGCUAUGUUUUCUGUUACUUUCUUUUCAAGUGUAUGUGUGUGUGUGUGUGUAGGUGUGUGUGCAGGUGUGUGUAUCCUUGGCGUAUGUGUGUGCGUUGAUGUGCUUCUCAAUACAGCGCCCUUUCCUCCGUUCUCGCCCCUCAACGCUCCCUCUCUCUCGUCUUCUCCAGUGCCACCAUGCUUCCCCGUCCGCCGCUCCCCUUCUUAUCUGCACCUCUCUCACUGCGUUCUCGUCGCGUUCUCGCAUGAGUAGAAGAGAUGGCCGUCAUGUGUGGCUGCAGAGAUGGGUGGGGUUCGUGUGUGCGCUUUUUCAUGGGCGAAGAGGGACGUUGGCACUGCGCGGUGGCGGCGAUGCGAGGGAGAGGCGUGUGGUGCAGUCGAAAGGAGCGAAGCACGCACGGACAUCUCGUGAUCAUAUAUGACGCUAGAGGAAACUCCAGCAAGCAACGGGAGCGCGAAACCAGCAGAUCCCCCCCCUCCUCCUUGUCCCUGGCGAGCCAACCCUGAGCUUAAGGCAACCCACUCACUCUUUCGUUUUCGUACUUUUCUUGUUUCGUACACUUCCGCGCUACACCAUGUAUAUCAG
RNAcentral lists this unclassified non-coding RNA (2370 nucleotides) under Leishmania donovani. Its description in RNAcentral is "gene:LdHU3.18.0830(CDS-product:60S_ribosomal_prot ein_L10a_putative)". The record is from RNAcentral. Lineage: Eukaryota; Euglenozoa; Kinetoplastea; Trypanosomatida; Trypanosomatidae.